RNAcentral lists this long non-coding RNA (2831 nucleotides) under Zea mays. Its description in RNAcentral is "long non-coding RNA (ZMAY_LNC004479)". The record is from RNAcentral. Lineage: Eukaryota; Viridiplantae; Streptophyta; Magnoliopsida; Poales; Poaceae.
GAUAGUGCCCAGCACUAAAAAGAGCAUAGACAUGCUGAUGAACAGCCAUGGCAUUUAUAUGAGUUUCCUAUGUCAUCAUGGCCAACAUGCAAGCCAUAAACAUAUAGUUUUUACCCUGGAUAUUUUUUCUCCUGCAAAUGCUGCUAAUUAUCAUCCUAUUCGGCAAUGCAGUGAUUAGAUAACAUCAUGCCAUAUUUCUUGCAUGCAACCUUUUAGUUGUUUGGAAUAUUGUUGAAUCACCAUGCAGCUGAAGUUUCCCCUUCUUUUGGCAUGCCUCAAACUUGUGAAUGUAAAAGAUUGAAAUUAUUCCCUGCAUAAAGAAGAAAGACACAUUGACAUAAACAUACUCAGAUCAAAGCUACAUUUGUGUGAAUGCGCUCACACGCCUGUGUUCAAAUCCCAGUUUGGGAUGAAUUGGGUGUUGCACUGGGGAUUCCCCCCCUGAGGGGGCCGAGCCGGCGAGCAUGUCAAUGUGAGUAGCGUGUGUGCUCGGUAGAUGAGUUCUGAGAUUCCUUAGGCAGUCUCACAUUUAUUUGAGCGUGGGGUCAGUAUAGGUGUCCAUAUGAGUCUUACAUGUAAGUAUGUAACAUGGUAUGCCAGUGCUCUGGCCAGAUUCAAAAAUAAAAAAGUUACAUUUGCAUUUUUGCAAGACACAGUGCAAAGCAAAAUAACUUCAUUAGGAACCGGCCCUCCGUCCAUACCUCUAGCAUAGGGUUCUGAGGUAAAGCCUAUACUAAUGCACUAUUUCAAGAUCCAUGGUUUGUGCCGUCUGCCGUGGACUCUUUUGUGGGCUGGACCUACAAGUGAAUCAAAAAUAAAAGACAGUCGGUGUCCUCCACGUAAUCUAAGGAGAGUUUAGGAAAGAUGAGAUUUAUUUUGAUUAAUUGAGAUAUUUGAGGAAGGCCUGGAUUAUAAAAGCCAAUAGUCUGUAUUAGGAAAAUGGUCAAAGAAGAAUAAGACUCCUGCCGGGAGUCCUCUUCGGUCUAGCCAGGGAAUUCACCCCUGCCACCGUGGAGGACAAUCGUCCAUUGCCACACUACCCUCUUCGAUCUCUUCUUCAAUCUCAUCUGCUGCUGUGAUCUCCCUUGGGCACACCUCGCUGACUGUGCGACAUCAGUUUGAUACUGAAUAGGUAUAAGAUUUCUUGACAUAAAAUCCAGCAGUCCAUCCUGAGGGCAUGGUUUGCCUACUUUGAUUUUUUCUUCUUGUCUCAGACCUUGAAAAAUGAUAAUCAUUUCAGCUUGACAUGGAAGUGUUGUUCUAUACAGUACUUGUAUUUAUUUACAAUUCAUAAGUAAUAAGUUGACUUUAGUUUCGCAUUCUGAUUGACCGUGCCUUGUUCAAUAUGGAUAUGACAGAUGAUAACUGAUGAGUAUUUUUGACUUGUCAUCCUGAGGUCUCAUGUAGAGUUCAUGAUCAAUUUUCUGUUUCCAUGUCCAGUGUACAUUAUUCAUGAAAGAAUAUUUUAUGAAAGUUUUAGUAAUAGGGUGAUCAAACGAAACUCCUGUCUUAGAUGUGAUUUUAUUAUGUCUGUCCUUUAUAGCAGUGGGUUUAUUUGCAGCCAAAGUAGACUACCUUGACUUUCAAUUUGGUCGGUUUCUCCCAUGCAUGUUGCAAGAAUACCUUGAGCUUGGAAUUUGACCCAUGUUCGAUUCCUCCAUUGCAGGUCGCAGAGCGGCUGGAAAAGUUCAAGACAACAAUUUUCACUCAGAUGAGCAUGCUUGCCAUCAAGCAUGGAGCAAUAAACCUUGGCCAGGGCUUUCCGAAUUUUGAUGGCCCAGACUUUGUGAAAGAGGCCGCAAUUCAAGCUAUCAAUGCUGGGAAGAAUCAGUACGCAAGAGGGUUUGGUGUGCCUGAACUGAACUCGGCUAUCGCUGAAAGGUUCCUGAAGGACAGUGGAUUGCAAGUUGACCCUGACAAGGAAGUCACUGUUACAUCUGGAUGCACUGAGGCAAUAGCUGCAACCAUACUAGGUCUGAUCAAUCCUGGCGACGAGGUGAUACUGUUCGCCCCAUUCUACGAUUCAUACGAGGCUACACUGUCGAUGGCCGGUGCCAACGUGAAGGCCAUUACCCUCCGCGCUCCAGAUUUCGCGGUCCCGCUUGAGGAGCUGGAGGCUGCAGUCUCCAAGGACACGAAAGCGAUAAUGAUAAACACGCCGCACAACCCAACCGGGAAAAUGUUCACCAGGGAGGAGCUCGAAUCCAUCGCCGCCCUCUGCAAGGAAAACGACGUUUUGCUGUUCUCAGAUGAGGUCUAUGACAAGCUGGUGUUUGAGGCUGACCACAUAUCCAUGGCUUCUAUCCCGGGCAUGUACGAGAGGACGGUGACCAUGAACUCUCUGGGGAAGACGUUCUCUCUUACAGGAUGGAAGAUCGGGUGGGCAAUCGCGCCGCCGCACCUGACAUGGGGCCUCAGGCAGGCGCACUCGUUCCUGACGUUCGCCACCUGCACACCGAUGCAGGCGGCGGCCGCGGCGGCUCUGAGGGCACCGGACAGCUACUACGACGAGCUGAAGAGGGACUACAGCGCGAAGAAGGCUAUCCUGCUGGAAGGACUCGAAGCCGCAGGGUUCAUCGUCUACCCAUCGAGUGGGACAUACUACAUCAUGGUCGACCACACCCCGUUCGGUUUCGACAGCGACGUAGAGUUCUGCGAGUACUUGAUCCGCGAAGUCGGCGUCUGCGCUAUACCGCCCAGCGUGUUCUACCUCGACCCCGAAGAGGGAAAGAAAUUGGUGAGGUUCACCUUCAGCAAGGACGAAGGCACGCUGCGGGCCGCGGUCGAGAGGUUGAAGGCGAAGCUCAGGAGGAAAUGAAUGAAGGGGGGAU